GAUGAACGCUAGCGGCAGGCUUAACACAUGCAAGUCGAGGGGCAGCGAGAGAGUAGCAAUACUUUGUCGGCGACCGGCGGACGGGUGCGUAACGCGUAUGCAACCUACCUUAUACAGGGGGAUAACCUUUCGAAAGGGAGACUAAUACCGCAUAACAUUACUUUGAGGCAUCUUGAGGUAAUUAAAUCUUCGGAGGUAUAAGAUGGGCAUGCGUAGCAUUAGCUAGAUGGUGCGGUAACGGCGUACCAUGGCGACGAUGCUUAGGGGUUCUGAGAGGAAGGUCCCCCACACUGGUACUGAGAUACGGACCAGACUCCUACGGGAGGCAGCAGUGGGGAAUAUUGGGCAAUGGGGGAAACCCUGACCCAGCAACGCCGCGUGAAGGAAGAAGGUCUUCGGAUUGUAAACUUCUGUCCUUAGGGAAGAUAAUGACGGUACCUUUGGAGGAAGCCCCGGCUAACUACGUG
RNAcentral lists this ribosomal RNA (467 nucleotides) under uncultured bacterium. RNAcentral describes it as "bacterial SSU rRNA". It matches the Rfam family "Bacterial small subunit ribosomal RNA", at positions 28 to 507 of the family's 1533-position model. The record is from RNAcentral.